Molecule: ribosomal RNA, 474 nt
Filed under: uncultured bacterium
Lineage: Bacteria
Description: bacterial SSU rRNA
Rfam family: Bacterial small subunit ribosomal RNA
Source: RNAcentral
UCAGGACGAACGCUGGCGGCGUGCUUCAUACAUGCAAGUCGAACGAGAAGCUGACUUCGGUCAGUGGAAAGUGGCGGACGGGUGAGUAAUAUGUAGAGAAUCUGCCCUUGAGUGGGGGACAACAGAGGGAAACUUCUGCUAAUACCCCAUAUGAGCUAACUUGAAAUAGUUAUCUUGAAAACUCCGGUGCUCAAGGAUGAGUCUGCAUCUGAUUAGCUAGUUGGCGGUGUAAUGGACCACCAAGGCGACGAUCAGUAGCUGGUUUGAGAGGAUGAUCAGCCACAAUGGGACUGAGACACGGCCCAUACUCCUACGGGAGGCAGCAGUAGGGAAUUUUGCGCAAUGGGCGAAAGCCCUGACGCAGCAACGCCGCGUGAACGAUUAAGCCCUUCGGGGUGUAAAGUUCUGUCAGUAGGGACGAAUUUUGACGGUACCUACAGAGGAAGCACCGGCUAACUCCGUGCCAGCCGCUGC